GAUGAACGCUGGCGGCGUGCCUAAUACAUGCAAGUCGAGCGAACGGACGAGAAGCUUGCUUCUCUGAUGUUAGCGGCGGACGGGUGAGUAACACGUGGAUAACCUACCUAUAAGACUGGGAUAACUUCGGGAAACCGUAGCUAAUACCGGAUAAUAUUUUGAACCGCAUGGUUCAAAAGUUAAAGACGGUCUUGCUGUCACUUAUAGAUGGAUCCGCGCUGCAUUAGCUAGUUGGUAAGGUAACGGCGUACCAAGGCAACGAUGCAUAGCCGACCUGAGAGGGUGAUCGGCCACACUGGAACUGAGACACGGUCCAGACUCCUACGGGAGGCAGCAGUAGGGAAUAUUCCGCAAUGGGCGAAAGCCUGACGGAGCAAUGCCGCGUGAGUGAUGAAGGUCUUCGGAUCGUAAAACUCUGUUAUUAGGGAAGAACAUAUGUGUAAGUAACUGUGCACAUCUUGACGGUACCUAAUCAGAAAGCCACGGCUAACUACGUG
This 497-nucleotide ribosomal RNA is filed under the name uncultured bacterium. RNAcentral's name for it is "partial 16S ribosomal RNA". It matches the Rfam family "Bacterial small subunit ribosomal RNA", at positions 28 to 507 of the family's 1533-position model. The record is from RNAcentral.